This 678-nucleotide ribosomal RNA is filed under the name Bacillus cereus. RNAcentral describes it as "bacterial SSU rRNA". It matches the Rfam family "Bacterial small subunit ribosomal RNA", at positions 34 to 698 of the family's 1533-position model. The record is from RNAcentral. Lineage: Bacteria; Bacillati; Bacillota; Bacilli; Caryophanales; Bacillaceae.
CGCCAUGGCGCUGCUAUACUGCAGUCGAGCGAUGGAUUAAGAGCUUGCUCUUAUGAAGUUAGCGGCGGACGGGUGAGUAACACGUGGGUAACCUGCCCAUAAGACUGGGAUAACUCCGGGAAACCGGGGCUAAUACCGGAUAACAUUUUGAACCGCAUGGUUCGAAAUUGAAAGGCGGCUUCGGCUGUCACUUAUGGAUGGACCCGCGUCGCAUUAGCUAGUUGGUGAGGUAACGGCUCACCAAGGCAACGAUGCGUAGCCGACCUGAGAGGGUGAUCGGCCACACUGGGACUGAGACACGGCCCAGACUCCUACGGGAGGCAGCAGUAGGGAAUCUUCCGCAAUGGACGAAAGUCUGACGGAGCAACGCCGCGUGAGUGAUGAAGGCUUUCGGGUCGUAAAACUCUGUUGUUAGGGAAGAACAAGUGCUAGUUGAAUAAGCUGGCACCUUGACGGUACCUAACCAGAAAGCCACGGCUAACUACGUGCCAGCAGCCGCGGUAAUACGUAGGUGGCAAGCGUUAUCCGGAAUUAUUGGGCGUAAAGCGCGCGCAGGUGGUUUCUUAAGUCUGAUGUGAAAGCCCACGGCUCAACCGUGGAGGGUCAUUGGAAACUGGGAGACUUGAGUGCAUAAGAGGAAAGUGGAUUUCCUUGUGUAGCGGUGAAUGCCUACAGAUA